Molecule: ribosomal RNA, 501 nt
Filed under: uncultured bacterium
Lineage: Bacteria
Description: partial 16S ribosomal RNA
Rfam family: Bacterial small subunit ribosomal RNA
Source: RNAcentral
AUUGAACGCUGGCGGCAUGCCUUACACAUGCAAGUCGAACGGCAGCACGGGUGCUUGCACCUGGUGGCGAGUGGCGAACGGGUGAGUAAUACAUCGGAACGUACAUUAUCGUGGGGGAUAACGCAGAGAAAGCUGUGCUAAUACCGCAUACGCCCUGAGGGGGAAAGCGGGGGAUCGCAAGACCUCGCGCGAUUAGAGCGGCCGAUGCCUGAUUAGCUUGUUGGUGGGGUAAAAGCCCACAAAGGCGACGAUCAGUAGCGGGUCUGAGCGGACUAUCAGCCACACUGGGACUGAGACACGGCCCAGACUCCUACGGGAGGCAGCAGUGGGGAAUUUUGGACAAUGGGGGCAACCCUGAUCCAGCAAUGCCGCGUGAGUGAAGAGGGCCUUCGGGUUGUAAAGCUCUUUUGUCAGAGAAGAAGCACCGGCUCUAACACAGUCUGGGAAUGACGGUACCUGAAGAAUAAGCACCGGCUAACUACGUGCCAGCCGCCGCCGUAA